UAUCCUACGGGAGGCAGCAGUGAGGAAUAUUGGUCAAUGGUCGGGAGACUGAACCAGCCAAGCCGCGUGAGGGAGGAAGGUACAGAGUAUCGUAAACCUCUUUUGUCAGGGGACAAGGACUGGGACGCGUCCCCGGAUGAGUGUACCUGAAGAAAAAGCAUCGGCUAACUCCGUGCCAGCAGCCGCGGUAAUACGGAGGAUGCGAGCGUUAUCCGGAUUUAUUGGGUUUAAAGGGUGCGCAGGCGGUCUGUUAAGUCUGAUGUGAAAGCCUUCGGCUUAACCGGAGUAGUGCAUUGGAAACUGGG
RNAcentral lists this ribosomal RNA (305 nucleotides) under uncultured bacterium. RNAcentral describes it as "bacterial SSU rRNA". It matches the Rfam family "Bacterial small subunit ribosomal RNA", at positions 335 to 637 of the family's 1533-position model. The record is from RNAcentral.